Molecule: transfer RNA, 74 nt
Filed under: Candidatus Portnoybacteria bacterium CG06_land_8_20_14_3_00_39_12
Lineage: Bacteria; Candidatus Portnoyibacteriota
Description: tRNA-Pro
Rfam family: tRNA
About the family: Transfer RNA (tRNA) molecules are approximately 80 nucleotides in length.
Source: RNAcentral
CGGGGUAUAGUGUAAUGGUAGUACGCAGCCUUCGGGAGGCUGUAGUCCCAGUUCGAAUCUGGGUACCCCGACCA